GCGCCCGUAGCUCAGCUGGAUAGAGUACCUGGCUUCGAACCAGGUGGUCGGAGGUUCGAACCCUUCCGGGCGCGCCA
RNAcentral lists this transfer RNA (77 nucleotides) under Granulosicoccus sp. Its description in RNAcentral is "tRNA-Arg". It matches the Rfam family "tRNA". Rfam says of the family: Transfer RNA (tRNA) molecules are approximately 80 nucleotides in length. Their secondary structure includes four short double-helical elements and three loops (D, anti-codon, and T loops). Lineage: Bacteria; Pseudomonadati; Pseudomonadota; Gammaproteobacteria; Chromatiales; Granulosicoccaceae. The record is from RNAcentral.